This is a long non-coding RNA of Mustela erminea (ermine), 699 nucleotides long. RefSeq lists it as uncharacterized. The record is from RefSeq and is a predicted model, not a curated record. The transcript is spliced from 4 exons. Lineage: Eukaryota; Metazoa; Chordata; Mammalia; Carnivora; Mustelidae.
UGGGCCUCCCACCCCGGUCUGCAUCCCAGCCUGCCCAGCAGCUGGCCGCGGUGACAGCUGGGCUCCCUGGACGCCUGCACAGGGGGAGGGAACUCACCUCCCAGGGGCUAUCGUGAGCAUCAGUGUCCAGGGAGCACGUGUCAGUGUCCAGGGAGCAUGUGACCGGCCAUGUGUCCUCAGAAGCAAAGCUCACGGUGAUUACCGCUGUUCAUAAGGAAGCCUCCAACUUCUUUUCCUCAGUGCUCCCAAGGACUCCACCACCACCAUGGAACCAACCAGAACCACGGUCCAUCCCGGACCCACUGGGAGAGCCAGCUCACGUCCUACUGUUUCCCUCUGCGGGGAGUCCAAGGACUCCCUCUCCUAGCCAGCCCCAUGCUCCCUGCCGGUCUUCCCCAAAGGAAGCUCCUGGCUGCAGAAGAGGGACUGGACUAGGCCGUCACACUGGAGAACUUCACCUUGUCUGGUGCACACGUAGGAUGCAGGCUGCCUGCUCUGAGUCUCUGUCCUGCAGGCCUGCCUGAGUCUGAGACCCCUGAGACCCAGGCAGGAUGUGAAAUCUGGGGCUCGUGAUGCUGGUAAGCAAAAUCAUAGCCACUCAGCCCUUCCCUCCCUAGCUGUUUAUGGAACCACACUUCACAAGGUCAAGCAGGCCUGACUUUGCCCCUGGGGAUACAGCAGUGAACAACAGACACUGAC